UACGUAGGGUGCAAGCGUUGUCCGGAUUUAUUGGGCGUAAAGGGUCCGUAGGCGGUUAGAAAAGUCAUGUUUCAAAUACCGGGGCUUAACCUCGGAAAGGGACGUGAUACUGUCUAACUUGAAUAAUUUAGGGGCUACUGGAACUUGGCAUGUAGGGGUGAAAUCCGUUGAUAUGCCAAGGAACACCGAGGGCGAAGGCAAGUAGCUGGGAAUUUAUUGACGCUGAGGGACGAAAGCUAGGGUAGCGAAAGGG
RNAcentral lists this unclassified non-coding RNA (253 nucleotides) under uncultured Patescibacteria group bacterium. RNAcentral describes it as "contains 16S-23S intergenic spacer region". It matches the Rfam family "Bacterial small subunit ribosomal RNA", at positions 524 to 776 of the family's 1533-position model. The record is from RNAcentral.